CUAUCUCAUUUAAAAUCAAUGCAUUCAAACUUCAUUUAAUUCAAUCACGUAUCAUAUUUUGUAUGGUAUCGUCAUACCCGACUUGCAAGUCAUCAAUAUCACAUCCACAUAUGCAUAAUCAUGUAAAAACCAAGGUGCUUCAUCAUUUACAAGUGGUGAACAAUAAUUAUUUCAAAUUCAUGCUCUCUUUUGUUGGUCACAAUAUGAUAUGGGGUAUCAAGACAUUAUCAUGGGAAUUUGAAAGCAAUUUAUCAUUCAUAUUUAUCAAACUUCCAUGGAGAAUCUCAAAUCACAUAUGCAUGGUUUC
This 307-nucleotide long non-coding RNA is filed under the name Capsicum annuum. RNAcentral's name for it is "long non-coding RNA (CANN_LNC015468)". The record is from RNAcentral. Lineage: Eukaryota; Viridiplantae; Streptophyta; Magnoliopsida; Solanales; Solanaceae.